Molecule: long non-coding RNA, 698 nt
Organism: Ixodes scapularis (black-legged tick)
Lineage: Eukaryota; Metazoa; Arthropoda; Arachnida; Ixodida; Ixodidae
Exons: 3
Source: RefSeq, a predicted model, not a curated record
GCAACCAAAUGCUCGCCACUACUCUGCUUCACUAGCAUCUCUCUAGCCACCAUACUUAGUGCAGCUACUCUAACGCCUCUAAAGCUUAGGUAACAAAAUGGCUGCCGCUACUCUGCUUCACUAGUAACUGCCGAGUCACCAUACCUUAGUUUCGCUACUCUGAAAUGAAGCUUAUUCAUUGGUUUUAGCGGUGCCCAAAGGCCACGCCUGCAAGCGUGUAUAGCUGUGCAAGUUUUUAUUAAGCGACUUCUGGUCGCCAUGACACGGAUCCCUGGACACCUCCGGUGCAAGUUUGGUUUGCAUGGUUCAAUGAGGACAUAAACCAAUUUUCAGACUUUGUCCAAAUGAAUGUGGCAGUUACUCUUUAUCGCAAAGUACUUCUAUCUCUGAUAGUCAUACAAAUGGCCAAAAGAAAGUAGACAUUAUCCAAGAGGUUCAAAUGCUCGUGCCCAAAAAAGAUUAUGACGAAAUUGGCCGAAAAUUGGCCUAGCCAGCGCUCUGGUUAAUGAGGUGCUGUUACGAUUUUAUUCCAGGACAGCUCACCUCUCUCCCAGGUACCUGGGACCCCUAACCAAGCACCACUGCUGGAACCCUCAUCUGCUUCCCAGGAACCUGGGACCUCUAACCAAGCCCCACUGCUAUCUCAGGAAACUGAGUACUCCAGCACCCAGCCAGAUGACCCGGUGGACAACACAACG